Ictidomys tridecemlineatus (thirteen-lined ground squirrel) is the source of this 822-nucleotide non-coding RNA. Lineage: Eukaryota; Metazoa; Chordata; Mammalia; Rodentia; Sciuridae. The record is from RefSeq and is a predicted model, not a curated record.
UGCUGAAGCUGGCCUUGAACUUGUGAUCCUCCUGCCUCAGCUCCCAAGUUACUGGGAUUUCAGCUGUGUGCUACCACAUCAGCCUCUUUUAUUCUCUUUACACUAGCUUUUGAUGAAGUUCUUAAUUUUUUUUUAUUUUUAAAAAAAUGUUAUUUUAGUCAUUGAUGGACCUUUAUUUAAUGUAUGUGGUGCUGAGAAUUGAACCCAGGGCCUCACACAUGCCAGGCAAGCGCUAUAUCAUGAGCAACAAAUCCAGCCCCAAGUUCUUAAUUUUCAAAAAUAAAAUUUUCAUAAAUGAGGUGCUGAGGAUCGAACCCAGCACCUUGCAGGCUCUAGGCGAGUGCUCUACUGCUAAGCCACAAUCCCAGCCCAAGUUUCCAUUCUCUUGAAGCAGACCAGGUACCCCAACCCAAAACACCCUUGCCAUAAUUAAGCUUCUUCUCUUGUCAGGUCAGCAGACCAUCUGCAGAGGUUAUUAGGGUUGAAGUUUCGUCUUUCUUGUACAUGCCAGGUUUGUACACAAAAGUACUGGAAAUGAACCCAGGGAUUUGCAAAUGCUAUAGGGGGCCGAAGGAUCCUUUGACCUGAUGCAGUCCAAGACCAAGAAGGAAGGCCUGGAAACUCCCUGGAGAAUGGCUGAUGAGAGUUCACACUGAAGAAAGUAUAGGGUCAUUGUCCUCCAGUGAGGACCCAGAGACCUUGGCCCCAUUUCUAUUUGCACUAUUGAGACAGACGCACUUGGAUCUGCAAUGCCUCUUUAUCAAACAAACACACCAGUCAGGCUGCAUGAAACUUCCCUGGUCUGCCUCCAUGUCCUUCCUU